GUCCAUUUUAACACAAUUCUCCAUCGCUUGAAACAGAAAGGGGAAAAUUGGCAAUGGCUUUUUCCGGCAACGAUCAAACAGAGUUGGAAAACAGAGAGAAACCAUGGAAGAAAAGCCUGCAGGAUAUCCUUCUUUUGUUUGCUUCGAGCAUGACUUUUCUAUUUCCCUCCGGCUUACUUCAACUGAUUUAAAAUCAUGUUGCUUUUGAAAAUCAAAUCUUACUCUUAUGUAUAAUCUUUCGUGGAAUUUUCUCAGUUCAAUUACACUACUGAAAGCAUAGCAAUUUGUGGAAUUGAUUGGUACUGAGGUUGUAUGCUGCUAAAAUGAAGUCGAACAAGCAGGACAACUGAAAUGGUGAAAGAGAAGGAAAUAGUGGUUGAGGCAAGAAUUCUUCAAAGCUAUAAUUAAUGUGGAACCUAAUUUUAAAUUUUCAUUUUGUCAAGUUGUUAGUUUUUUUAAAAAAAAGAAAAACAUAGGAGUAGUAUAAUAUCAAUAGUUAUCUA
Long non-coding RNA from Solanum dulcamara, 503 nucleotides. RefSeq lists it as uncharacterized. The transcript is spliced from 3 exons. Lineage: Eukaryota; Viridiplantae; Streptophyta; Magnoliopsida; Solanales; Solanaceae. The record is from RefSeq and is a predicted model, not a curated record.